Molecule: long non-coding RNA, 483 nt
Organism: Alligator mississippiensis (American alligator)
Lineage: Eukaryota; Metazoa; Chordata; Crocodylia; Alligatoridae
Exons: 3
Source: RefSeq, a predicted model, not a curated record
GAUGCCUGAUGGCAGCAGCCAUUUUAAGAACAAAGGAUACAAAGGCUGCUGUUUGUUGCUGGCAGCCGACGCAGAAACAUCGCCUGGCUGAGCUGCAGCAGGAACAUCAGAAGAUAAGAGCAGGAGGCUCUUGGUCCUGGGCAUGACUUGAAACUGCACCCUGCUGGGGAUGGAUGGCCUGGUGGGGCUCCUGGUGGUGUGGGAGCUCCCAGGAAAUGCCAGGCCAAUUACUACCCCAGUGAAAGGUCUUUCAUCUUAGACACAAAAUAAUAGAUUGAGACUGCAAACACGUGGCAAGAUGCACAUGCUCAAAUAAGCAAGUUCCACAUGAAUGUGUCCUGGAGCAGAAUCAUCAAGCAUCUUUGCCAGUAUCAGAAGUGAAACAUUUUGGGGCAACUGGCAGUCUAUUCAUUUCCUUCAGCAAGCUACAAAGGUGAUUCCUGUCUUUUUACACUGCUGACAUUUCAAAGCGCUUAAUGCAAA